Molecule: transfer RNA, 69 nt
Filed under: Ocydromia sp. DY-2020
Lineage: Eukaryota; Metazoa; Arthropoda; Insecta; Diptera; Hybotidae
Description: tRNA-Gln
Source: RNAcentral
UAUAUUUUGGUGUAUGAUGCACAUAAACUUUUGAUGUUUUAAGAAAUAGUUUAAUUCUAUUAAAUAUAA